Molecule: ribosomal RNA, 465 nt
Filed under: uncultured bacterium
Lineage: Bacteria
Description: partial 16S ribosomal RNA
Rfam family: Bacterial small subunit ribosomal RNA
Source: RNAcentral
GACGAACGCUGGCGGCGGGCUUAACACAUGCAAGUCGAACGGAAAGGCCCUGCUUGCUGGGGACUCGAGUGGCGAACGGGUGAGUAACACGUGGGUGAUCUGCCUUGCACUUGGGGAUAAGCCUGGGAAACUGGUGUUAAUACCGGAUAGGAGCCAUUUUUAGUGUGAUGGUUGGAAAGUUUUUUCGGUGAAUGAUUAGCUCGCGGCGUAUCAGCUUGUUAGUGUGGUAAUGGCGUACCAAGGCGUCGACGGGUAGCCGGCCUGAGAGGGUGGACGGACACAUUGGGACUGAGAUACGGACCAGACUCCUACGGGAAGCAGCAGUGGCGAAGAUUGCACGAGCGGCGCGAGCCUGAUGCAGAGACGCCGCGUGGGGGAGGACGGCCUUCGGGUUGUAAACUCAUUUCGCUAGCGACGAAGCUUUUUGUGACGGUACCUAGAGAAGAAGCCCCGGCUAACUACGUG